AAACAAAUGUGAGAGCCUGCAAAGCUGUUGGACACCCCUUUGUAAUUCAGCUUGGAAGAAUUUAUUUAGAUAUGCUUAAUGUAUACAAGUGCCUCAGUGAAAAUAUUUCUGCAGCUAUCCAAGCUAAUGGUGAAAUGGUUACAAAGCAACCAUUGAUUAGAAGUAUGCGAACUGUAAAAAGGGAAACUUUAAAGUUAAUAUCUGGUUGGGUGAGCCGAUCCAAUGAUCCACAGAUGGUCGCUGAAAAUUUUGUUCCCCCUCUGUUGGAUGCAGUUCUCAUUGAUUAUCAGAGAAAUGUCCCAGCUGCUAGAGAACCAGAAGUGCUUAGUACUAUGGCCAUAAUUGUCAACAAGUUAGGGGGACAUAUAACAGCUGAAAUACCUCAAAUAUUUGAUGCUGUUUUUGAAUGCACAUUGAAUAUGAUAAAUAAGGACUUUGAAGAAUAUCCUGAACAUAGAACGAACUUUUUCUUACUACUUCAGGCUGUCAAUUCUCAUUGUUUCCCAGCAUUCCUUGCUAUUCCACCUACACAGUUUAAACUUGUUUUGGAUUCCAUCAUUUGGGCUUUCAAACAUACUAUGAGGAAUGUCGCAGAUACGGGCUUACAGAUACUUUUUACACUCUUACAAAAUGUUGCACAAGAAGAAGCUGCAGCUCAGAGUUUUUAUCAAACUUAUUUUUGUGAUAUUCUCCAGCAUAUCUUUUCUGUUGUGACAGACACUUCACAUACUGCUGGUUUAACAAUGCAUGCAUCAAUUCUUGCAUAUAUGUUUAAUUUGGUUGAAGAAGGAAAAAUAAGUACAUCAUUAAAUCCUGGAAAUCCAGUUAACAACCAAAUCUUUCUUCAGGAAUAUGUGGCUAAUCUCCUUAAGUCGGCCUUCCCUCACCUACAAGAUGCUCAAGUAAAGCUCUUUGUGACAGGGCUUUUCAGCUUAAAUCAAGAUAUUCCUGCUUUCAAGGAACAUUUAAGAGAUUUCCUAGUUCAAAUAAAGGAAUUUGCAGGUGAAGACACUUCUGAUUUGUUUUUGGAAGAGAGAGAAAUAGCCCUACGGCAGGCUGAUGAAGAGAAACAUAAACGUCAAAUGUCUGUCCCUGGCAUCUUUAAUCCACAUGAGAUUCCAGAAGAAAUGUGUGAUUAAAAUCCAAAUUCAUGCUGUUUUUUUUCUCUGCAACUCGUUAGCAGAGGAAAACAGCAUGUGGGUAUUUGUCGACC
RNAcentral lists this long non-coding RNA (1213 nucleotides) under Homo sapiens (human). RNAcentral's name for it is "long non-coding RNA NONHSAT184720.1". Lineage: Eukaryota; Metazoa; Chordata; Mammalia; Primates; Hominidae. The record is from RNAcentral.